AUGCUAAGGGACUUAUGUCCAUCAGAUUUUAAUAGACUUCCAAAACCUUUUGAACACUUUUCUUACAUGAAAGUUUGUAGUAUUAAAAUUUUUAACACAUGAAGGGAAGAGACUAACUUCUGAUGAUGAUGUAUAUUAUGCUGUUGGUCUUACCCGAUAGUUUACAACUGAAUUAGAUAAAAACAUGAAAGUACGGAUUAAAUGGCCACCCACAUCUGUAGAUGCGGGAAAUUUAGUCAGAAAGGAGAAAUCGCCUGAUCCAAAUUGGGGAGAAGAAAUUGUUUUAAUUAAGAGAUUUUAUGAUUUAUAUGAUAAGGCUGCUGCUUCAUGUAAGGGAUACGUAGAAGAUUCCAAUUAUGAAACAGAUCAUCGUAAAUUAGGAAGAGGACACAGAACAAAAAGAAAGAUACAACGUUUAGACUCUGAAUCUGAAAAUGAAUCAGACUCUGGAUUGCAAAAUUCUAGAGUCAAAAAGGGAAAGACUCGUUCAUCGAACAAGAAUCUUCAAAAAUUAAAGAAAACAAUACCAGCACCUCCUCCUGUUUCUUUUGUUAUGCCAUGAAGAUCCCCGCACGAAUUAGUGCGGCAGCAGACUCUCGAACUAGAGAAACAACCUCUUAAGAAGAUAAAUAUUAACAAAAUCUCUGAAAACGAAAAAUCAAGUGACCAAACGUAUCUUUAACAUGAAGAAAAAAAUACAGGAAGAAAAAGCUGAAAAUACUACGCUCUCUGAAAAACUUCGUCAAUUAUUGUCGAAUAAAAAACUCCAAAAAUCUUGUAAAGAUAAACUAACCCUGUAUCAAGAUGAAAAGACACUUGAACAUCAAAAUGUAGACGAUUUUGAUUUGGAUAAAAUUGAGAAUUUUGAAAAUCAAAAUUUUGAAAAAGAAUAAUAUUACAUCAACGAUUCCAGAGAAGCAAAUUGUUUUUGAAUACUGUCCAUCCUCUACAGAUAUCAAAAUUCUUUCGCCCAGCUCAUCUGAAAAGGAUUUUGUUUAUAACUCACCAAGUGAAGAGUUGAAGAGAAAUAGUUCUUUGUCACAUCUAUCCUCUUCUGCUGUAGGCAGAAGUUCUUUUAAUCUCAUUCUAAUGACAUUAUUUGUAUCAAUCUGAGAAGUCUGAAAGCAGUUCAUCUCAAAAUAAGUCUCAUUCUAAUGACGACUAUAUGUAUCAAUCUGAAAAGUCUGAAGGCAGUUUUUUUCAAAAUAAGGAUGCAGAUAUUUCUCUUGUAUGUCUCAUCAAAACGUAUCAUAAUGAAAUAAAAAAAGAAUUAAAAGAAUUGAAUAGUAAAUUAGAUUUUUGUUUACUAAAUCAAGAAAAACUACAUAGAUACAUACUUCCGGAUGAGAAAACUAUUAAAAGACCCACAGGAUUCCCCUCGCUUCCAAUUAAAUCUGAACAAGAACUACAGGCUUUAGAAACAUUUUUAUCCAACGAUGCAAAUUUAUCAGCGGCAAGUAUGUAUUUUGGAAGAUUUGUAGACAAAAAUAGUCUAGAUAAUUCAGUCAGGAAGAUAUUACGAAAUGUUAUUUGUAAAGAUGUAGCAAACAAAUACAGCUUUCAAGGAGCUAAGGGGAAAAAAAAUUUGAAAUAUUGAAGACGUGGGAGCUUAUUCUAGGUGAGCAAAAAUAUUUAAGAGAUUUCUAGGUAUUUCUUUUUACUUAAAACGUAACAUUUGUGUAACAUCUCAUUUUUCAAUUUAUUAAACUUCGUUAUUAUAAGUAGAAGAUAGUAAAAACAAAAAUAAUUAUGAUUGUUAUUCUGGUUCUUUUACACUUAGUAUUAAUACAAUUUAAUGCAUUUUGUUUAAGACAAAAUAAUUUGCCCUAUUUUAAUUUUUAAACUUUUAUAUUUUUUUUUAUGUUAGGGACUAAUUUAUAUCCUCAAAUUUUUUAUACUGAAUAAAAUUCUAUUUAUUUGUUAGAUUUCCAUGAGCAGUAAGAUUUUUUGUCUUAAAACUUAAAAUACAUGCAAAGAAAAUUAACUAUAUAUAUAUAUAAAUCUCAUUUUAUUAAUUAUGAAAACAAUUUUUACAUUUUUAAAGAAAGUUAAAGUUAACUAAUGUCUUAAAUAAUCUUAAGUACUUUGAAAUAGUUUUUGUCACAAGGAUAUGUAUCUAUUUCAUGUUUAGGUGCACUACUAUUAUAUUUUGAACCAGAAGAAAUGGUCACGGCUGACAAUGUUGCAAAGUUAUGGUUGGCCAAUGCUCCAUGGCGCACACAAACGGAUGGGACUAUUCGUGGCAAAAAAUGCAACCAAAGAGAAUAAUAAAUAUGUAUAAAAAUAAAUAAAAUUAAUUAAAAAUAUAUUAAAAACCUUUUUUGUUAGUUUAUUAUUAUUUGUAUAAGAAUCAAUCACGGUUUUACCAAUUAUGGUUGAACUAACAGUUCAAGUUAAUAAAGUAUUAAAAGAUAAAAAAUCGUUAUACUUGUAUCUACAUCCUGUUAACUUUAACCGUCAAUUUAAUCGUAGUUGGUGAAAUUUAGGGUAACUUCGACCAAUUCUGAUUAACUUUAAUUGUUGAUUAAAGGCUUCCCAACGUAAUAAAAUAAUUCAGUGUUACUAACUUGUAUUUCUAACAAUGUAAUCGUUCUAAUCUAAUCUAAUUUUGUUGAAACAGUUGGUUACUUUGAAUUAUUUUGUUAUGUUAACAAAUCGUUAAUCAACCAUUAAACUUAAUCGGAGUUGGUUGAAUAAGUGGCCCAAAAAAUAGUUUGUUGAAUUGAUAUCGAAUCGAUGUCGAUUCGAUAUCGAUAAAUCAUCGAAACUGUGAUCAUCUGAAUAUCAAAUUUGAUAUAUAAAUCGACGUAAAAUUUCGAUGUCGAAUCGAUAUCGAUUCGAUGUCGAUUCGAUGUAUCAUUUCUCACUGGGGUUAGAUUCACGUGGUGCCCGGCACAUAAAAAUAUUUUAAGAAAUGGAAUUGCAGAUGGAGCAGCAAAGGACGGGGCUUUGAUGGGUGAAACUAUUGAAAAUAAUAUAGUAUUUUCGGGAAUGAUCUUCUCGUUGAGGGGAAGUUACGUUGAAAUAGAUAGAGAAUAUCUAAAUAAAAUUAAUAUUGGAACCGGUAAUUAUUACAUGAAUAACUUUGCAGAGUUAAAAAUAGAAAAAGUCUUUAAAUUUGGACUCCCGCGUAAACAGGCUUGUAUUCUAUCCAGAAUUAUUGUGGGAUACCCUUAUAUUAAUGUAAUUAAAUAUAAUAUGAUUGAGAUAUGAGAUAAAUUUCUCACUGACGAAACAAAACUGAACGACGGCUGGAUUCCAGUGAGAGUCAUGUUAGAUUUUAAAUUGUUAGCUGCUCUCACCAAAAAUAUUGAUAUCAUUCUGAAAACUUUGAAGACUAGUGAUCUCGUGGAGAUUUUUGGGGACAGGAAGAAGAUACGUUGAUCACCAAAACAUCCGUUUUCAGAAAAUAAUGAGAAAUGCUCAGAGGCUCAGAGAGAACGAAUAAUUUAUGCAAAAGGAUUUUCUUUGAAUAGCACUAUUUUAAACUUCAAAAACUUUUUCGAACUGUAUCAACCGUAUGAAAAGAUUGUGGUAAGUAUAUAUAAUUCAUUAAUUAAGAUAAAACUAUGAUAUCCCAUACAGCACAACAUCUUUCAAAAAGAUUUUUGAAAGAUAUCUGACAGAAGAUUGGUUUGUGGGAUGUAUAUAAUUAAAAGUGAUCUCAUAGAGAUUUCUGAUGAGAACAGGAAGAAGAUACGUUGAUCACCAAAACACCCGUUUCCAGAAAAUAAUGAGGAAUGCAUAAAGGCUCAAAGAGAACGAAUAAUUUAUGCAAAAGGAUUUUUUUUGGAUAGCACUAUUCUAAACUUCAAAAACUUUUUUGAACUAUACCAACCGUAUGAAACGAUUGUGGUAAGUAUAUGUAAUUCAUUAAUUAAGAUAAAACUAUAAUAUCCCAUACAGCACAACAUCUUUCAAAAAGGUUUCUGAAAGAUAUCUGACAGAAGAUUGGUUUGUGGGAUGUAUAUAAUUAAAAUUUAUAGUAGGCCACAGCAGAAUGUUAUUGCUUAAUAUACAGGAAGUGCGUUUCACUUAACACUCGCAACGCCAUUGGAAUCAUUUAAUCUUUACUGCUUAUUGAAUAUUAAACAAAGACAAAUAAUGUUUGCAAGUAUCGUGAGUGUUAAGUGGAACGCAUCCAAAGUAUUUCUUAAUGGCUGUCCUAACUCUUCAUCAUGGGAGGUGGCAUUAUCGACCGCAACCUAUAUAUUAAUAUAUUAAAAAUUAUUUUUUAAUAUAUUUAGUAAAUUAGCUAAUUUUAUUUUGCAGAUAAAAAAGUUUCUAGAUAAAAAUAAAAAUAAACAUUUUAUGGGAUCUGUUUUUGUGCUAUUUAUAACUGUUGGUGGCGCAAAAGCGUUUCUGAAUUUAGAAUCCGUAAAAUAUAAAGAUAAAAUAUAAAGAACCGAAUUAAUAAGGAAAUGGUUGUAAGUAAAAAUUUAUCUAAAAACAGAAAAAAAAAUUAAUACAGGGGAAACAAAAUCUCGUUGACACAAAUUUUACAAUUUUAGUACUUAAAAUUUUAAACAUUAUAAUUAAAUUAUAAUGUGAUUUUCUAAAAGAUGAUAAACAAAUCAAAGAAUAAAUUAAAUAAAACCCAGUAAGAUGGUGAGAAAGGUAGAAAGGCCAUUUCGAAAGAUGAAAAAUGUUUUAUAUUAAAUAUAAUAUAAUGAUGUUUAGCCAUGCUAAUAUGGAUCGAGAAAUCAUAAGAAUUUUACAUAUAGAUUUCGCUGAAUUAAACUUGUAACAACUAAAUCUUUUAUUAUAUAAUAUAUAUUGUAAUGAUGUUUAGCCAUGCUAAUAUCGAGAAAUCAUAUGAAUUUUACAUGUGGAUUUCGUUUAAUUAAACUUGUAACAACUGAAUCCUUUAUUAUAGUGUAAAAUAAUUUCCUGCUUUAAAGAAGCAAGUGCUAAUGAAAUUUUUUAUGUGUUCAAAGGACGUGUGG
Molecule: RNA transcript, 4946 nt
Organism: Monomorium pharaonis (pharaoh ant)
Lineage: Eukaryota; Metazoa; Arthropoda; Insecta; Hymenoptera; Formicidae
Exons: 5
Source: RefSeq, a predicted model, not a curated record